RNAcentral lists this ribosomal RNA (906 nucleotides) under uncultured bacterium. RNAcentral's name for it is "bacterial SSU rRNA". It matches the Rfam family "Bacterial small subunit ribosomal RNA", at positions 8 to 916 of the family's 1533-position model. The record is from RNAcentral.
AGAGUUUGAUCAUGGCUCAGGAUGAACGCUAGCGGCAGGCCUAAUACAUGCAAGUCGGACGGUAGAUUACUUUCGGGUAGUUGAGAGUGGCGAACGGGUGCGUAACGCGUAUGCAACCUACCCUAUACAGGGGGAUAGCCCGGAGAAAUCUGGAUUAAUACCCCAUGGCACUGCGGAGAGGCAUUUCUUUGCAGUUAAAGAUUCAUCGGUAUAGGAUGGGCAUGCGUCUGAUUAGCUAGUUGGCGGUGUAACGGACCACCAAGGCGACGAUCAGUAGGGGUUCUGAGAGGAAGGUCCCCCACACUGGCACUGAGAUACGGGCCAGACUCCUACGGGAGGCAGCAGUAGGGAAUAUUGGGCAAUGGACGAGAGUCUGACCCAGCCAUGCCGCGUGCAGGAAGACGGCGUUCUGCGUUGUAAACUGCUUUUAUCUGGGAAGAAAAAGCCCCUGCGGGGGACAUUGCCGGUACCAGAUGAAUAAGCACCGGCUAACUCCGUGCCAGCAGCCGCGGUAAUACGGAGGGUGCAAGCGUUGUCCGGAUUUAUUGGGUUUAAAGGGUGCGUAGGCGGCUGUUUAAGUCAGUGGUGAAAGACCCCGGCUCAACCGGGGCAGUGCCAUUGAUACUGGACAGCUUGAGUAUUGGAGGGGUACAUGGAAUUGACGGUGUAGCGGUGAAAUGCAUAGAUACCGUCAGGAACACCGAUAGCGAAGGCAUUGUACUGGCCAAUAACUGACGCUGAUGCACGAAAGCAUGGGUAGCGAACAGGAUUAGAUACCCUGGUAGUCCAUGCCGUAAACGAUGAUUACUCGCUGUUAUGGCUAUAUGUUGUAGCGGCCAAGCGAAAGCGUUAAGUAAUCCACCUGGGGAGUACGCCCGCAAGGGUGAAACUCAAAUGAAUUGACGG